RNAcentral lists this ribosomal RNA (520 nucleotides) under uncultured Glomus. RNAcentral's name for it is "SSU rRNA". It matches the Rfam family "Eukaryotic small subunit ribosomal RNA", at positions 569 to 1091 of the family's 1831-position model. Lineage: Eukaryota; Fungi; Glomeromycota; Glomeromycetes; Glomerales; Glomeraceae. The record is from RNAcentral.
AGCAGCCGCGGUAAUUCCAGCUCCAAUAGCGUAUAUUAAAGUUGUUGCAGUUAAAAAGCUCGUAGUUGAAUUUCGGGAUCAAUUUGCUGGUCGUGCCUCCGGUACGUACUGGUAUUUAUUGGUUUCUCCCUUCUGACUAACCAUGAUGUCAUUCAUUUGGUGUUGUGGGGAAUCAGGACUGUUACUUUGAAAAAUUAGAGUGUUUAAAGCAGGCAUAAGCUUGAAUACAUUAGCAUGGAAUAAUGAAAUAGGACGUUUGAUCCUAUUUUGUUGGUUUCUAGGAUCGACGUAAUGAUUAAUAGGGAUAGUUGGGGGCAUUAGUAUUCAAUUGUCAGAGGUGAAAUUCUUGGAUUUAUUGAAGACUAACUACUGCGAAAGCAUUUGCCAAGGAUGUUUUCAUUAAUCAAGAACGAAAGUUAGGGGAUCGAAGACGAUCAGAUACCGUCGUAGUCUUAACCAUAAACUAUGCCGACUAGGGAUCGGAUGAUGUUAAUUUUUAAUGACUCAUUCGGCGCCUUAA